AACAAUAACAUAAAGAACAACUGUAUAUUUAUACUUUUAAUGAAUUUUUCUCAAUUAUGAAUGGAUAAUUUGGAUAAAACACAACCACUAAACUGGAAAAUGGUCGUCCAUAUGCACUGGAAACAGAUUAUUGUGAUAUAAAGGACUGUGUUUUUUUCAACUUCGUGAUGCAAUUCGGAUAGGUACCCAAUGUCGGAUUCCCUGAGAAUGCCUCAUUACCACAGAGUUAUUGCGUUGAACAGUCGUCCUUGAUCAUUAGUCGAUGGAUAGUGGGUAACAAGAAAUGGAUAUAAACGACUGAAUCUGGUAAAAUAACCAGGUGACCAACAUGACCAAGUGACUGCCAAGCUUUGAAAAUACCUCUUUUUUAAAUGCAGCAAUUGACGUUCAAGUAACAGGAUAACACCUGACUGCUGUAUGUCUUAGUUCAAAGAAGCAGAAGAAAAUGGUUUAAUUUGUAAAUGCUAAUGAUGUAAAAACUACACUCAAGAGACAGACCUGGUGACAGUAAUGCAGGUUCAGGAAGUUGUUCAUACAGUUCAAUAUAAACCUCUUGAGGGAAUCAUUUGAGGAGACUAACCGUCCAGUGUGUUGGUUUAUAACAUGUUUAAACACAGAUAAUAAUGAGAUAUUGGUACACUCAGAAUCAACGUGGAAACUGUUGGUGAGAUGUGUACAUCAUUCAGCUUUGGAAUCCUGGAACUCAUGAAGUGCAAUGUUCAAAUAGCACUCAGUUCAAUGUUUGAAGAACCUUCAAUGGUAUUUCUGUUUUGCUUGAACAGAACAGUACCGACUCCCAUUACAGUUGUAGAAUUAAGUGACGUGGAAGGCACUGUAGCUCAGCCUAAUUAUUAAUUGUACAAGAAUGUAGCCUGUACAUAUACAUGUUGUAUCAAGAGGAAGUGAAAUUAUUUAUAUGCAUGUCCAGAAGUGACUAGCUGUGUACAUGGAUGUCUUUGUAGAAAACUCAUUAUUGUUAAGUUUUAAACCUUUGCUUUAGUUGCUAUAAAAUUUUAUUGUAAAACUGAUGAAAUAAUCAGCAUCUUUUAAUAUUCUUAAGGAUCACUUAUUCAUAUGAUGGAUUAUUUCUAUUGCAAUGUACUGCUAACUCACAUUGUUGUCACUGUUAUGAUAUGUCACUUAAUGUGUUUCUGCACGUUUGAAAAACCGGAAGUGAUUGCAUAACGUCACUUAUCUGGAAAACGUAGAAUAAUGCCCUGAUUCGGCGUACGGAAACAAAAAUCAUUUUAUGAAUUAAGGACAACCUGUGAAUAAAUAUAUUAAAAUGGCACUGUUACUAUCUUUCUAAAGUUAAAAUAUGAUAUUAAAACAUCUUACACGUUAAAUAAUCUAAAAUAAUGUCUUAAAAUUAGCUUGAAAUAGGCAGUUCACUUUAAUCAUAGCCAAAUAUCUCAAAAAUAAGCACAUGGACCUAUACAUUUUAUUUCGUCGUAUUAUAGGCCAUAUGUCUGUUUAUGACUCUGAGAAGUUUCAUUAAAAUCUACAUUGCAGAAAUAUUUCUAUUUGCGAAAAUGUUUUGAAAAUUGCGUUUUUCCCAUAGACUCCCAUUAUGAAAACUUGCGUUAGGUCGAAAUUUUUCAAAUCAGUCUAGCAAAAAAUCAAGCACACAACCCUAUCUUUUUUAUUUUCUGAAUUUUCUUAGAAUAUUCCGAAGUUUUGAAAAAUCAGAGUUUAAUCAAAUUCUACAUUGUAGAAAAAAUUUCCGGUCCUGAAGUGCAGAACUACCUAAACAGAAUGCGAUGCCAUGUAUUUAUGAUUUACUUCACAUUUUUGUAUUUCAUCAAUAAAACAUUAUUAUCAUUAUAAAUUUAUAAUAUAUAAAUUGAGAGGAAUAAAUAUGUUAGGAAACAGUAAA
Long non-coding RNA from Mercenaria mercenaria, 1876 nucleotides. RefSeq lists it as uncharacterized. Lineage: Eukaryota; Metazoa; Mollusca; Bivalvia; Venerida; Veneridae. The record is from RefSeq and is a predicted model, not a curated record. The transcript has 5 exons.